UACGAAGGGGGCUAGCGUUGUUCGGAAUCACUGGGCGUAAAGGGCGCGUAGGCGGCCGAUUAAGUCGGGGGUGAAAGCCUGUGGCUCAACCCCAGAAUUGCCUUCGAUACUGAUUGGCUUGAGACCGGAAGAGGUCAGUGGAACUGCGAGUGUAGAGGUGAAAUUCGUAGAUAUUCGCAAGAACACCAGUGGCGAAGGCGGCUGACUGGUCCGGUUCUGACGCUGAGGCGCGAAAGCGUGGGGAGCAAACAGG
This 253-nucleotide ribosomal RNA is filed under the name uncultured bacterium. Its description in RNAcentral is "partial 16S ribosomal RNA". It matches the Rfam family "Bacterial small subunit ribosomal RNA", at positions 524 to 776 of the family's 1533-position model. The record is from RNAcentral.